GGACCUGGUGUGGGACCAACACAGCGACCCCACACUGGUGCAGGCUUGGGGACAGGUCUGGUCUAUUGAAGGUUGUUUGGAUCUCAGACUGAGCACUGGCCUGGCCAAAGAGUGCACAGGAACCACACGGACCAGUUGUUUUGGAUUUUGAACA
Long non-coding RNA from Acipenser ruthenus (sterlet), 154 nucleotides. RefSeq lists it as uncharacterized. The record is from RefSeq and is a predicted model, not a curated record. The transcript has 3 exons. NCBI's taxonomy places the organism in Eukaryota, Metazoa, Chordata, Actinopteri, Acipenseriformes, Acipenseridae.